Molecule: unclassified non-coding RNA, 2772 nt
Filed under: Schistocerca americana (American grasshopper)
Lineage: Eukaryota; Metazoa; Arthropoda; Insecta; Orthoptera; Acrididae
Description: exonuclease mut-7 homolog, transcript variant X4
Source: RNAcentral
AAUUUCCGGUCAGUAAACGUCAAAACAGUCAAAUGCUUACUGUGGCAUAGUGACGGUGGUAUGCAUGUGCAAGUUUUCUUUGCUUGUGGAAGCGCUGCUCGGAACAGAUUUGAUGUGACGACGAAAGUACUUGAUUAACGUUAGUGGUGUUGUGAAAACACACGAAGUGUACAAUGAAUAGUGGCAAUACAUCAUGACCUUGUCAGGUUCCUUUGUCUUUCUCCCUGGUCAUAUGUAUAAAACAUAAAUCUGCAAGACGAACUGCUCAUUAGCAUAAUGGCAUAUGGAGGAAGGGGAAGAGGCGGCAGACGAGAUGGGAGAUGGAUUGAUAGCUCGCUCCUCCAUCAGUACCACGAUGAAUCGCAAGGCUUUCAUCAACCAGAUGAUGCACUUUCUGCUUGGAUCAAACAACUAAUCGAAAUGUGGCGUCGAUGGAAGAAGAGCGAUGCUGUAAGACAAAUGCUGCACAAUUGUUUUGCUGCUGCUGGUAACCCCUAUAUUACAGCUCUUCAGAUAAUGUUAAAUAGUGAAGAUUUCUACCAAGCUAAAACUAACUCUUUAGCAUAUACAGUAAUGGAAGAAUUUUCUGUAUGGUUGGAUAAUCAUAGGCAGUACCUGGAUGCUUGUUUAACAAGAGAAUUGAAAUUUGAAGCAUUUUUAGCUGUGCAAAUGCAAAGAAAUCACAAGUUGGUUAAACUUGUAUAUGCUACAUAUGAAAUGGCCCAAGAUAGUGAAAUUUUUUAUGAUGAAAUCAUGAAAAUGGUUUCAAAACGACUGUACAAAGAGGCUUGCCAGAGUGCAACACUUCUGAAAUUGCAUGAUUAUUUUGCAAUAGAAGACUUCAUUAUUCCACUAGCACUUCAAGAUAAAAUGUCAAUUGCUGAAGAAUUUUUGUCAGGUUCUGUUCCACACCAGAAAAAAGUAGUAAUAUUCCUUGACAAACUCUUGGAAAAGAGAGCACUCAGAAAUGAAGUGGAUUCAAUAGCUGUUAAAUUAAAAGUACCAGAUGUUAAGUUGGAUAAGUUUCAUUACAAACCACUUAGCAAACUUGUGGGGAGAUUAGUCAAAAUGUACAAUCUUCCGGAAGAAAUUUGCCCAAAUCUCAAUCAGAGGAGAAAUGAAGGUGCACUGCAGUUCCUACUUCACAAAAGAUAUCAAGAUAAUAGUUUAGGUACUGAUAGCUGGCGAGAAAUGGUACGAGAAGCAGUACAAGAUGAUGUACGUUUACAAGAAGAGCUUAUUGUUUUAGUAAAUUUAGCAAACGAUCCAGAAGAAGCUCUGUACUGGACUAACUAUUAUAACAUCCCACAGAGUAAAUGGCCUGAAAAUGUAAGAAUAUAUUCACAGGAAAGGAAGUUAAGGCUUCAGCGUGAAAAAUCUGAAGAAACUGAAGAAAAUUGGGACAACAGUUUAAUUACGUAUCAUCAACUAGCUUUACCCUUUGACAGUAUUAUAUUUGUAGAUUCUGAUGAGAAGCUGCAACUUUUUAUUGAAUCAGUAAAGAAAAAUCAUAAUAUGCAUAGAAUUGGAAUUGACUGUGAAUGGAAACCCCGCUUUGGCACAAAGCAGCUCACAUUGGCUCUGAUGCAAAUAGCUACUUCCGAAAACGUAUAUAUUUUGGAUGUAAUAAGGAUUGGAUUGCAUUACAAGGAAUUGUGGGAAGAGCUUGGACGAAUCGUUUUUUCAGAUGAAAGCAUCAUGAAAUUGGCAUUCUCGUAUGUGGGAGAUAUGGCUAUGAUCAAAAAUUCAUUGCCACAUUUGUACCCUUUCCUGGAAGAACAUUGUGAGUUAUUGGAUGUGUCACUUGUUUGGCAACAAUUGGUGAAGAAACACUCUAUUAUUUUCCCAUACAAUGGAAGUGAAAACACAAGUGGGGAGAGUUUGUCCCGGUUAGUGGAAUUGUGCAAAGGACAUCCUUUAGACAAAUCUGAUCAGUUUUCCAACUGGGAGCAGAGGCCGCUGCGUAGAGGACAACUAGUAUAUGCAGCAUUGGAUGCUUACUGCCUGUUGGAAGUUUUUGAUGUGAUGGAACAGUGUUGUGCAGAACAAGGUAUUCCAUUCUUGGAAAUAUGUAAUAGCAUAAUACAAAUGUUGAAGUCACCUAAGAAGGUUCCAAAAUCUACUAAGAAGACUCAAAAGGAAAUUGCUGAAUCACCACUUAUAAUGGGACCACCACCAUUUACAGAACCAGUUCCUGCACGUUCUUUGCGAAUCGUGUGUGAUAUGAUGGUUGCUGGAUUAGGACUACAGCUCCGUAUGUGUGGAAUAGAUACUGUAAUACUCAAAGCUGGUCAAAACUAUGAUCAGUGUGUCAGAAUUGCUAUGAAUGAAGAUCGUAUGGUGAUCACUAGAGGAAAAAACAUAUACAGACAAAUGAGCCAGCAUCUACCUAUGGGUCACUGUUAUCUUGUUUCUGAAGGAAAUUUAGAGAAACAGUUGAAAGAGGUGUUGGAGUACUUCAAUGUUACAGUUACAAAGAAAGAUGUUUUUAGCAGGUGUAAAGGGCUGACUCUUACAUUCCAUAAAUAACAGUACUGACUCCAAAGAAACAACUGAUCAAGAUGCAUAGCAGAGUAUCGAACUGGGCUACAAAAGGUGGUGAGAUACCAACAGUACCUCUGAAUGGAGUCCAGAUUUGUAAUGGAGACACAUUUAUUAAAGUAACUAGGAAUACAAUGCAGCAAUUGGCUGAAAAUUAUCGCCGCCUUUCGUACACUGUACCUGAAGAAGCUGAAGCUGAAGAUGAAGAAGAAGUAGAAGUUGAAGAAGCGG